This 451-nucleotide ribosomal RNA is filed under the name uncultured bacterium. RNAcentral's name for it is "bacterial SSU rRNA". It matches the Rfam family "Bacterial small subunit ribosomal RNA", at positions 30 to 465 of the family's 1533-position model. The record is from RNAcentral.
AGUGAACGCUGGCGGCAGGCCUAACACAUGCAAGUCGAGCGGCAGCGCGUCCGACCACCCUCGGGUGGUCGGAUGGCGGCGAGCGGCGGACGGGUGAGGAAUGCAUCGGAAUCUGCCUCGUUGUGGGGGAUAACGUAGGGAAACUUACGCUAAUACCGCAUACGACCUACGGGUGAAAGUGGGGGACCUUCGGGCCUCACGCGAUGAGAUGAGCCGAUGCCGGAUUAGCUAGUUGGCGGGGGUAAAGGGCCCACCAAGGCGACGAUCCGUAGCUGGUCUGAGAGGAUGAUCAGCCACACUGGGACUGAGACACGGCCCAGACUCCUACGGGAGGCAGCAGUGGGGAAUAUUGGACAAUGGGCGCAAGCCUGAUCCAGCAAUGCCGCGUGUGUGAAGAAGGCCUGCGGGUUGUAAAGCACUUUCAGUGGGGAAGAACAGAUUCGGGUCAAUA